CUGGCCUCCUCCUGGCCUUAGCUUUUAUCUCGCUCGCAAGAUGGGAUCCAUUUCACCUGCAGUAUCUUCCAUGGAAGGCAACACCUGAGGCAGCUUUCCAUCCAGCUGUGUCACCUUUCUCCAAUUUCAAGGAGUCAAACUUUUGUCCAAGUCAUGUCCAUUACAAUUGAAGGUAACAUGAUUAGUUGAUUUCACUAUGUGCCUGGAAAAUACAUAAUACCGCCCCUUGAAAGGUUUUUAGUCAUACACUAAUUUCAGCGUCUUUAGUUUACCAGGCUCUUUCGGGAGAUCAAGUUGAACACUGACCAGGCUAAGAAUGGGUUAAUAUUUAUUUAAAAUAGGUGGGCAUUUACUCCAGGUCAGACCCCUUGUUGUAUAUAUUUUCUGAAUAAAUGUAAUUCCUCUGAGCAUUAUUGUGAGCAGACUGGACUUGUUUGCUCUGCUUUUGUUUCAGAGUCAAUUUUCCAUCAUUUGCUCAUUUUAUACGAACCACUCACUCCCCAAUUGUGCUUGUAUAUCGCACACCUUUGGUCGCUGCAAAUUCAAUGAUUCGAUGCAGUCAGACGUCCUCACUAUAAAAACUUUUUGCCAACCGACAUCAUUCUAAACAGAAUUUGCCUGUAACUUUAUGACAGCUGCGUACCGUCACUUGGAUCGAAAGAGAUCGAAUGCUGUCUUUGCAUCUAUUUCUCUCCUUCCGAUUGGACUGAUACGAGUACAUAUUUCUGUGCACAAGAUGAACCUGUUGGUGUCAACGUGCCUUCAGGUGAGAAUUAUUGUGAACUGUUGCUGUACAGAUGAGGCGAAUUGAACUGAAUAGGUUGUAGUCGGUGGAGUGAAGGCGCUACACACUUUUAUUUUUAUGCUCCUCUCAUUUCAGACAGAAAAAAAAAAAGAUUUGAAGGAUUCCUCUUAAAUCCCCAACUGACCCGUCCUCUGUGCGAGGUGGAGGAGAGAGCAGUAUUGAUCAGCUGACCUGGCUCCUUGACUGUUAACGCCUGAGCAGCCUUGAAGAAAACACCAGAAUCUUGAUAAGGUGCCAGCCCGACAGCAGCUCUUAUCCUUACCUCCAGGAUUACCUGGCCUUCUAGGUGCAGCCUGCAGGCUCCCCUUCCCUCCAGCAUCACCUGAGCUGCCGUUAAACACAUAACUACGGCGGCGGAGUGAGAUGGACGCCAGAUUGAGGCUAAACCGCAGCCCCCCUCUCCGUUGCAAGCAUCCAAAAUUAGAUAUAGGUAAACAGACACUGGUUGCUCUAUACCUGUGGCAACUGCAUCGCAGAGUAGAGUGCGAGUGAAUGUGCAGCUACACUCCGGUGAGAUCAAUAUCCCACAGGGUAGAGCACAAACAUCGCAGUCAUUCGUCAAUCUAUAACACUGCUGCUCCUCUGCCCUCUAACCACUACUAUGAACAGGGCAUUAUGAUGUUAGACUGGACUGGACUGUGCAUUAUGAAUGAGAGUGGAGAAAACUGUAACCAAGCACGAUCCCUGAAUUUAACUAUUUCGCUGCGCCUCCAGUCUGAGAGCAAUGAGGGGGGUGGGGGGGGGAGGGAGAAAAAGAGCUAUGAAACAGAUUGAACAUCAGUGGGGAAAGAGGUGAAAUGGGAAGAAAUAAAAACUGAUGAAGAUGGAAAUGAGACAGGUGAGAAAUGAGGAAGAGUUGGGAAAUAAUUUAUUUAUACAUUUUUCAGGGAUGAGAGGGGAGGGGGUGGAAAAAUAGGCGACACUUUACGCAAUGGCUUUUGGAACCGAGCCCAUCUGGACAACUAAUUCCUCUAUUCAUCAAAACACACAGUGUCAGAGUUGACGUUUGACUAAUGAGCGUUGGUCAGACGAUCUUGUUCGGUCAAUAACCUCCACCGAUCUCGCACUCCGCUUGGCCUGGGAUGCUGUAUGUAAAACUUAAUAAUGGAUGAUCAUUUUAACUUUUAAUGCACGUUGAGGCGGAGUAAGAGUCGCCUUUAAUCUAGCAUCCAGCCAGCAGCCUUAGCCAAGCCUACUGAGAGUGCAUUUAUAGCAGUGGCUCUUGUGGUUCUGAGCCUGAGGAUCAUCAUUAAACAACUGUUGUUUUGUGCCAUAAAAGCAGCUGUUUUCUAAAUUAAAGGACAGGACUAAUUUUAUUUUCCAACACAACUAAAUAUUCUGCUCGCUUCCAGUUGAGGGAGAAAAUUUGAGUUGUUUAAUUUCAUUUUUUUCUAACCUGUGAAAAUGUAAUUACACUCACCAACGAGUGUUAGUCCUGAUCCAAAUUGCAUUACGGAGCAACCCACGACUCCUGCUGAGGUGAAUUUUGUUGGGGUUUUUUUUGUUGUUUUUUUUGCACGGUGAAUAUAAAUGCCUCAUGUGCAACCACGGACAAACUGCUUCAGUGUUUUUUUUCCUUUUUAGGCUGGCAUUGCAAGUAGCUCAUGAAUUUCCAUGAAUGAGGCCACACCUCAUCAGUUUUGAAUUAAUUAUCAAAUAUCGCAGACACCUUUAUGUUUCAUUGGAAAGUGUCAGAAUAACUGAUCACCUAAUACUGGCCACAUGGCCCUUGAGGGAACGUCGAGUCAGUUAUAGGCAGGGACAGUAUAUAUUGAAUUGCCGAGGCGUUUCAUAUGACACAAAGACUCAUAAACAGCAACACAGCCUUUCAGAGGGAAGUCGGUCCAACAACAUGUAGGCUAUUUGUCUUUCUAUUUUCGUGAGCACAAAAAAAAAAAAAAAAAGCACAAAAUUCCUUAUGUGAUCCCAACACAAUUAGUUUAUCCGUUUCCUCGACCUUUACCGAAUAGGAUGUUCCAUCUUUUUUUUUUUUUUUAAAACGAUUGAAGUAGAAAUAUUUUUGCAUACUUAUUUAAAAGAAGAAGAAAAAAAAAACCCUCUGGCAGCAGAUGUGGGUAGAUAUUGAAUCUUGAUCCUAUUAGGUCUUAACACAGCUUAUGAAACCAUCAACCAUGCAGUUUUAUUCAUCUGUUUACAACAAGGAGGGCAAAUGUCAUCAGUUCAAGUUAAGAGCUGAAAUAUCAUUUGAAUAAUCAGUUAUCUGAUGCCCUUUGUGUUGCCUGUUAAACAAUUUAGCUGAUGUUCCUUAGAGCUCGGUAUGUUGUUAAUUUGCUCCUAAACUCUUAUACCUAUAAAUAUCACUGGCUAUUCUCCUGCUUAUUUUUUUUAAAUGUUAUGGACUACAUGAAUAAUCACUGGAGAGAUAACUAAGAAAAGAAAGAGAAAGACAAGGUCUGUUAUGAGUGCUCAUUUUAAGCUGUGCAAAGGAAAUUUCAUUGCAAGCCUGUGCAACGAGAAUUUAAAAAAAAAUUGAAGGAAAAUAUAAGAAAACAUCACUGCCUUCCCGUUGACCUUCUUAAGAGACCUUAUAAGGACUCAUAAGUUUUUUACACUGUGCGCAGUCUGGUGGGGUCACACUGACCCUGUCUGCGCUUUUACGAGUAUAUUUGUUUUGUGUGUGUGUGUGUGUGUGUGUGUGUGGUUUCAGAAGCUGACGGUCUGACGGGACAACCCCCCCGGCUUCCCUGCUGUCCGAUCAUGACUUUUGCUGCGCUCCUCCUUCGCAUCGCGUUGAGACCCUGGGAGGGUUAAAUCAUGAAAUAACUUUUUGGUUCAAUUGUAUUAGUCACCCACCUGAUUGCUGCUCGACCUCUGACCUUUAGAAUUAAGAAAUCAAUGAAACAGGAUUUUACCAAACCUAUUUUCAUUUUGGACCACAUUGAGAUUAUGAAUCUCAAGGGGCUGAUUGUGGGAGGAAAUAUUGAUAAAACUACCCACUAAACUGUUAAAAUAUGACCAAAUAGCUGUCUCUGAAAGUAUUUCUUAAAGUUAAAUAACACUGAACAUCUUUUCACAUCUAUGUAUUUGGCACCAUAUAAAUAAAAACUGAUCAAAUGAUAUUUAAGCACACACUUGAUAUCUUGAAGGUUUUAUUCAUGUGACCCUCAAAAGUAUAUAGAGUGUCACGUAAAAAGUGUCACAUGCAAAAAGUUAGGCAAAUUUCAAGAAAGGGUGAGAAACGGACUCACUGGCAUCCAGCCAUGUAUAAAGGAUGACAAAACCAUUUCUAGGAAUCAGGGACUCCACCAAACCACAGCGACAGCAAUUAUCCACUAAUUAAGAUAAUAAGGAAGACUUGUAUACCUUCCUAGGAGUGCCAGUCUGACAAAGUUUCUCCAAGAGCACAUUGACAAAGUCUUGCUUUGAGCCUGGUUUGCUCUUCAAAACCCAAGCAUUUUACUUUAUUCUUUCAUAUUUACUGUACUUGCAAAGCUUCGCCCAACCUUCAACAUUAGCAUCAGCAAUAAAACUCUAAACUUCAGCUGCUCACUUCUCAGCAGGCACAAAGGAGAGAGCACAUGACCCUCAUCUUAUAAUUAUUGAUUUCAAGAUUCUGCUCUUAAACUACAAAGCAUUCAGAAUCCGCUCUCCCGUUUACAGAUCUGAACUCAUGACCUCACAUGUGUCAGAGUGCAGCCUUAGAUCAUCUGAUGAGCCUUCAAAGAGAAACUUUUUGGUAAGGGCACGCAAUCUCCCACAGCUUAUAUAUUCUAUAACUUUAUUUUCUGUCGAAGCAGCUUUGAGUUUCUACUUGACAUCUUUCUUUUCGAGCAAAAUAAUUUGGUCUCCUCAUUUUUCAUAGUUUGUCGAAUUACAACAAGGUUCUAUGUAUUCUAUUUUUCAGCGCAUGUAUUCUGCUUUUUUAUUCAUAAUUAUAACUGUGGGUCUUUUGGGCGAUGUUUCCCCUAGUUUUGCACGUCUAGCAACUGAAUUUUUUUUUUUUUUAUCUAUUCUUUGCAAAAUAGCUUAACUUCACUCUGGCUGUAUGGAGACGAGAUUAAUUUACAUGGUUUGGCACCAGUUUUGAUGUGGAUUCAAGUCUGAGCUUGAAUCCAAUCCAAUAAAUGGACCUGUUUUGAUGAGGUUUGUAUCAGAUUAAAAGUCUUUUCAGAUUUUAGUUAGAAAAACAAAAGUUUUAACACCAUGUAUCUUUUUGUUCCUCUUCCCAAUAAUGCACUACUUUAUGUCGGUCCCUUGCGUAAAAUCUCUCAUUAAACUGCCUUAAAUCAAUAAACAUAUUAAUGGAUACCUGCAGUCGGAUCAUGUGUGCAGGUACAAAGCUCCGAUACAGCUAAGAAUCUGUGCUUAGCUUUGUUCUCUUAUUCUUAAAAAAAAAAA
This is a long non-coding RNA of Poecilia latipinna (sailfin molly), 5164 nucleotides long. RefSeq lists it as uncharacterized. The record is from RefSeq and is a predicted model, not a curated record. The transcript is spliced from 2 exons. NCBI's taxonomy places the organism in Eukaryota, Metazoa, Chordata, Actinopteri, Cyprinodontiformes, Poeciliidae.